Molecule: ribosomal RNA, 305 nt
Filed under: uncultured bacterium
Lineage: Bacteria
Description: bacterial SSU rRNA
Rfam family: Bacterial small subunit ribosomal RNA
Source: RNAcentral
AUGCCUACGGGACGCAGCAGUGGGGAAUAUUGGGCAAUGGGCGCAAGCCUGACCCAGCAACGCCGUGUGAAGGAAGAAGGCCCUCGGGUUGUAAACUUCUUUUAUUCGGGACGAAACAAAUGACGGUACCGAAUGAAUAAGCCACGGCUAACUACGUGCCAGCAGCCGCGGUAAUACGGAGGAUGCGAGCGUUAUCCGGAUUUAUUGGGUUUAAAGGGUGCGUAGGCGGAAUAUCAAGUCAGCGGUAAAAAUUCGGGGCUCAACCCCGUCGUGCCGUUGAAACUGAUGUUCUUGAGUGGGCGAGA